GUAGGUGGCAAGCGUUGUCCGGAAUUAUUGGGCGUAAAGCGCGCGCAGGCGGUUCUUUAAGUCUGAUGUGAAAGCCCACGGGCUCAACCGUGGAGGGUCAUUGGAAACUGGAGAACUUGAGUACAGAAGAGGAAAGCGGAAUUCCACGUGUAGCGGUGAAAUGCGUAGAGAUGUGGAGGAACACCAGUGGCGAAGGCGGCUUUCUGGUCUGUAACUGACGCUGAGGCGCGAAAGCGUGGGGAGCAAACAGGAUUAGAUACCCUGGUAGUCCACGCCGUAAACGAUGAGUGCUAAGCGUUAGGGGGUUUCCGCCCCUUAGUGCUGCAGCUAACGCAUUAAGCACUCCGCCUGGGGAGUACGGCCGCAAAGGCUG
This 373-nucleotide ribosomal RNA is filed under the name uncultured organism. Its description in RNAcentral is "partial 16S ribosomal RNA". It matches the Rfam family "Bacterial small subunit ribosomal RNA", at positions 527 to 896 of the family's 1533-position model. The record is from RNAcentral.